AUGGCUGUUGCGUUGCAGGUCUGCCGCCGGCGAGCAGCACCAUGGAUGUUGCGUUGCAGCUCUUUCGCCGGCGAGCAGCGCCAUGGAUGUUGCAUCGAAGCUUCGUCGCCAGCGAGCAGCACUACAGAUGCUGCGUUGAAGCACUGCAGCUUCAACAACCAUCGCGAGUGCAGCCGCCGGCGAGAGCUCCCUUGCAGCCAAGCAGUACCGCCGCUGGCAAGCUCCACGGGAUCGGGGCGCCGCUUGUGCUGCAUUGUAGCUCCGCCGUCGUGGCGAGUUCCACGGGGACGCGACUUCCUCCGGCGAUGGGCGGCGUCCGCCUCCGGCGAGCGGUGCCAGGCUCCAGCCUCCUCCUUCAUGCUGCAGCGCCAUGCCUCCUCUCCCGCGUUUGACAUCAAGCGGGUGGAAAGAAGUGGGAACGAACAUGUGGAUGCGAAGAAGAUAAGGCUGGGCGGUUGUGAGCGACGCGUGGGGCUGGACACGUGUCCGUGCGUUCCAGGCGGCUUACGCGCCGUGGAAAAUCAGCCGGCUUAA
RNAcentral lists this ribosomal RNA (534 nucleotides) under Triticum aestivum (bread wheat). RNAcentral's name for it is "partial small subunit ribosomal RNA". The record is from RNAcentral. Lineage: Eukaryota; Viridiplantae; Streptophyta; Magnoliopsida; Poales; Poaceae.